UGGAAGGUUUUUAAUACACUC
This 21-nucleotide non-coding RNA is filed under the name Caenorhabditis elegans. The record is from RNAcentral. Lineage: Eukaryota; Metazoa; Nematoda; Chromadorea; Rhabditida; Rhabditidae.